UACAGAGGGGGCAAGCGUUAUUCGGAAUCAUUGGGCGUAAAGGGUGCGUAGGCGGCGCGGUAAGUCGGGUGUGAAAUCUCGGAGCUUAACUCCGAAACUGCAUUCGAUACUGCCGUGCUUGAGGACUGGAGAGGAGACUGGAAUUUACGGUGUAGCGGUGAGAUGCGUAGAUAUCGUAAGGAAGACCAGUGGCGAAGGCGGGUCUCUGGACAGUUCCUGACGCUGAGGCACGAAGGUCAGGGGAGCAAACGGG
This 253-nucleotide ribosomal RNA is filed under the name uncultured bacterium. RNAcentral describes it as "partial 16S ribosomal RNA". It matches the Rfam family "Bacterial small subunit ribosomal RNA", at positions 524 to 776 of the family's 1533-position model. The record is from RNAcentral.